Molecule: ribosomal RNA, 423 nt
Filed under: uncultured bacterium
Lineage: Bacteria
Description: partial 16S ribosomal RNA
Rfam family: Bacterial small subunit ribosomal RNA
Source: RNAcentral
GAAUAUUGGACAAUGGGCGAAAGCCUGAUCCAGCCAUGCCGCGUGUGUGAAGAAGGUCUUCGGAUUGUAAAGCACUUUAAGUUGGGAGGAAGGGCCGUAAGUGAAUACCUUGCUGUUUUGAUGUUACCGCUAGAAUAAGCCCCGGCAAACCCUGUGCCAGCAGCCGCGGUAAUACAGAGGGUGCAAGCGUUAAUCGGAAUUACUGGGAGUAAAGCGGACGUAGGUGUUUCGUUAAGUUGGAUGUGAAAUCCCCGGGCUCAACCAGGGAACUGCAUCCAAAACUGGCGAGCUAGAGUAGGGCAGAGGGUGGUGGAAUUUCCUGUGUAGCGGUGAAAUGCGUAGAUAUAGGAAGGAACACCAGUGGCGAAGGCGACCACCUGGGCUCAUACUGACACUGAGGUGCGAAAGCGUGGGGAGCAAACA